CCAGACUCCUACGGGAGGCAGCAGUGGGGAAUAUUGCACAAUGGGGGAAACCCUGAUGCAGCAACGCCGCGUGAAGGAAGACGGUUUUCGGAUUGUAAACUUCUGUUCUUAGUGAAGAAGAAUGACGGUAGCUAAGGAGCAAGCCACGGCUAACUACGUGCCAGCAGCCGCGGUAAUACGGAGGAUGCGAGCGUUAUCCGGAUUUAUUGGGUUUAAAGGGUGCGUAGGCGGGCUGUUAAGUCAGCGGUCAAAUGUCGGGGCUCAACCCCGGCCUGCCGUUGAAACUGGCGGCCUCGAGUGGGCGAGAAGUAUGCGGAAUGCGUGGUGUAGCGGUGAAAUGCAUAGAUAUCACGCAGAACUCCGAUUGCGAAGGCAGCAUACCGGCGCUCAACUGACGCUCAUGCACGAAAGUGUGGGUAUCGAACAGGAUUAGAUACCCUGGUAA
Molecule: ribosomal RNA, 445 nt
Filed under: uncultured bacterium
Lineage: Bacteria
Description: bacterial SSU rRNA
Rfam family: Bacterial small subunit ribosomal RNA
Source: RNAcentral